CUGAACUGCUCUGACUGGCAGACUUUUAUUUUAAUUGCUUUUCUCCUGUAGCAUCUUGCUUCAUCAGAAAAGUGAAGGAAUCUAUAUAAAGCAGCCUACUUCAGUUAUGCUGCUCUCAUUCAUACCAAAGGCAAGUCUCUGUGCUUUGAGACACGAAUAUUCUGGAUGCGAAGAGAGAAGAUGCACAAAGGAUGCUAUAGGCAAUGGAGACCGCUGAGGAAGAAGAGAUCUAGCACAACAUCUUUUGGGAAGAGUCUAUCCAACAGGAAUCACACCGACCCUCCCUUUGUGCCAGCUCCUUCUGUUAUGCCAGUACAAGGUGAUUCUGUGUUCCACUUUGGAGUGUCCAAUUAUUUUCUUACGUCUACUUCAUUGGCUUGCUACAGAGCAGGGGGCUUUAACAUCAGCAUCUCCAAAGUGCUUUUUGCUAUAAUACUUUCCCACUUGUGUGGUUUACCUACAAACAUGCAUCCAGCAGGACUGUGCAUGUGUAAAGAGGAGAGCUGGCAACCAGAAUAUUCUGUGUAG
RNAcentral lists this long non-coding RNA (528 nucleotides) under Phasianus colchicus (ring-necked pheasant). RNAcentral's name for it is "lncRNA (ENSPCLG00000003625.1)". Lineage: Eukaryota; Metazoa; Chordata; Aves; Galliformes; Phasianidae. The record is from RNAcentral.